CAGCCGCCGCGGGAAUACGUAGGGUGCAAGCGUUAAUCGGAAUUACUGGGCGUAAAGCGUGCGCAGGCGGUGUUGUAAGACUGAUGUGAAAUCCCCGGGCUCAACCUGGGAACUGCAUUGGUGACUGCAACGCUGGAGUGCGGCAGAGGGGGAUGGAAUUCCGCGUGUAGCAGUGAAAUGCGUAGAGAUGCGGAGGAACACCGAUGGCGAGGGCAGCCCCCUGGGAUAACACUGACGCUCAUGCACGAAAGCGUGGGGAGCAAACAGGAUUAGAUACCCCCGUAGUCCCUGUCUCUUAUAC
This 301-nucleotide ribosomal RNA is filed under the name uncultured bacterium. RNAcentral's name for it is "partial 16S ribosomal RNA". It matches the Rfam family "Bacterial small subunit ribosomal RNA", at positions 509 to 807 of the family's 1533-position model. The record is from RNAcentral.